This 226-nucleotide unclassified non-coding RNA is filed under the name Hevea brasiliensis (rubber tree). The record is from RNAcentral. Lineage: Eukaryota; Viridiplantae; Streptophyta; Magnoliopsida; Malpighiales; Euphorbiaceae.
AUUACACAUGUGACAUAUCCAAACUUCCCAUGAUUCUAGCAAUAAAUUGCUUCUUCAGCAACCAGAAAACCAAAAGUCACCCAAAACAUUCUUGGUUGUCAAAUACGAAAUAAAUAGACAAAUUCAAUGCCUUUGCCAUCCCAAUUUUUAACAGAAAUUAAAUAAAACGAUAACAUACUCAAGAAAAUUACCCACUCGAUUUUGUAAAAUAGCAACAAUGCCAACA